AGAAUCAACGCUGGCGGCGUGCCUAACACAUGCAAGUCGAACGAGAAAGUGGAGCAAUCCAUUAGUAAAGUGGCGCACGGGUGAGUAACACGUGACUAACCUACCCUUGAGUGGGGGAUAACCUAGAGAAAUCUGGGCUAAUACCGCAUAAUACCUUCGGGUCAAAGGAGCAAUUCGCUUAAGGAGGGGGUCGCGGCCGAUUAGUUAGUUGGCGGGGUAAUGGCCCACCAAGACUAUGAUCGGUAUCCGGCCUGAGAGGGCGCACGGACACACUGGAACUGAAACACGGUCCAGACUCCUACGGGAGGCAGCAGUGGGGAAUUUGCGCAAUGGGGGGAAACCCUGACGCAGCAACGCCGCGUGGAGGAUGAAGCCCCUUGGGGCGUAAAACUCCUUUCGAUCGGGACGAUAAUGACGGUACCGAGAGAAGAAGCCCCGGCUAACUUCGCGCCAGCAGCCGC
Molecule: ribosomal RNA, 461 nt
Filed under: uncultured bacterium
Lineage: Bacteria
Description: SSU rRNA
Rfam family: Bacterial small subunit ribosomal RNA
Source: RNAcentral